Molecule: ribosomal RNA, 397 nt
Filed under: uncultured bacterium
Lineage: Bacteria
Description: bacterial SSU rRNA
Rfam family: Bacterial small subunit ribosomal RNA
Source: RNAcentral
AUUGAACGCUGGCGGCAUGCCUUACACAUGCAAGUCGAGCGGCAGCGCGGGGGCAACCCUGGCGGCGAGCGGCGGACGGGUGAGUAAUACAUCGGAACGUGUCCUUUCGUGGGGGAUAACCAGUCGAAAGACUGGCUAAUACCGCAUGAGAUCUCACGAUGAAAGCGAGGGACCCGAGGGUAACUUCGGGCCUCGCGCGAUUGGAGCGGCCGAUGUCGGAUUAGCUAGUUGGCGGGGGUAAAAGCCCACCAAGGCGACGAUCCGUAGCUGGUUUGAGAGAACGACCAGCCACACUGGGACUGAGACACGGCCCAGACUCCUACGGGAGGCAGCAGUGGGGAAUUUUGGACAAUGGGGGCAACCCUGAUCCAGCCAUGCCGCGUGUGUGAAGAAGGCC